AAAGGAAUAGACGGGGGCCCGCACAAGCGGAGGAACAUGUGGUUUAAUUCGAUGAUACGCGAGGAACCUUACCUGGGAUUGAAAUGUAUAGGACGAUUGGUGGAAACACCUUUUUCCCCUUUUGGGGCUUAUAUGUAGGUGCUGCAUGGUUGUCGUCAGCUCGUGCCGUGAGGUGUCGGCUUAAGUGCCAUAACGAGCGCAACCCUUAUCGUUAGUUACUAACAGGUCAUGCUGAGGACUCUAGCGAGACUGCCGUCGUAAGGCGAGAGGAAGGUGGGGAUGACGUCAAAUCAGCACGGCCCUUAUAUCCAGGGCGACACACGUGUUACAAUGGUGAGGACAAAGGGCAGCUACCUGGUGACAGGAUGCUAAUCUCUAAACCUCAUCUCAGUUCGGAUCGAAGUCUGCAACUCGACUUCGUGAAGCUGGAUUCGCUAGUAAUCGCGCAUCAGCCAUGGCGCGGUGAAUACGUUCCCGGGCCUUGUACACACCGCCCGU
RNAcentral lists this ribosomal RNA (498 nucleotides) under uncultured bacterium. RNAcentral describes it as "bacterial SSU rRNA". It matches the Rfam family "Bacterial small subunit ribosomal RNA", at positions 903 to 1397 of the family's 1533-position model. The record is from RNAcentral.